Molecule: long non-coding RNA, 472 nt
Filed under: Olea europaea subsp. europaea
Lineage: Eukaryota; Viridiplantae; Streptophyta; Magnoliopsida; Lamiales; Oleaceae
Source: RNAcentral
GGAAAAUACUAUGAUUAAGCAAUCGCCAAUACUAGUUAGCUAACUAUACAUAAAAUAUGCACGAACAAAGUCAAUGCAUGAGUAUGAAAACAAUCAUCUAAACAACUAAUUCUCCAUUAUUAUACCGUAUUUAGUCAUGCUUAGAAUGACCUAUACUAGGACUAUGACCCGGGGUCGUUGAUCGAAAAUAAUUCACAUGUACUUCAAUGAAUCUAAAUUCAGGCCUCUGUAACUUUGUAGGGCUUGCUCUUGUUGCUUGUUUUGCACCACAACUAACAAAAUUCGCACACUUCAAUCUUUUUCCCCUUGAAAAAUUUCCUCCCCGAAUGCAAAAAACUUCAUUUGGAACAAUGAUAAGUAGAAAAAGCAAACACGUAAAAAUUUUGGCCAUAGCUCUAGUUUUUGUUUUCUUAAUUUUAUAAAGAAAGAAAAAUUAGAAGAUGUAGUGACUAAACGAGAGAGGAAAUUUAAG